This 253-nucleotide ribosomal RNA is filed under the name uncultured bacterium. RNAcentral's name for it is "partial 16S ribosomal RNA". It matches the Rfam family "Bacterial small subunit ribosomal RNA", at positions 524 to 776 of the family's 1533-position model. The record is from RNAcentral.
GACGUAGGGAGCGAGCGUUGUCCGGAUUCAUUGGGCGUAAAGCGCGCGUAGGCGGCCUCGCAAGUCGGUUGUGAAAUCCCGGGGCUCAACCCCGGGACUGCGUCCGAUACUGCGAGGCUGGAGGUAGGUAGGGGAGAUCGGAAUUCCUGGUGUAGCGGUGAAAUGCGCAGAUAUCAGGAGGAACACCGGUGGCGAAGGCGGAUCUCUGGGCCUUACCUGACGCUGAGGCGCGAAAGCUAGGGGAGCGAACAGG